UCCAAGAGCCGAGGUGCCAUCAUGGUUGCAAAAGAGGGCAGGUCCUACUAAUAGGAAAUAAAACCACCACCAUUUGAUGUCUAAUUUUGGAAAAUGCUUUGACACUCCACUCUGAGGCACUAUCUCUAUUGGAAUGUAUUAAUAACUGGUGCAACAAGUAGAAGAGAAUCACUUGGCUUUAUAUUUUCAAAGGCUAGAGUUUGGAUUCCACCAAAUCCUUCAUAAUUUGCAGUAAUGGCUCAGACAAUAUUUAUUGAUUUUGGCCUUCAUAUUUGGCCCUUGAUAAAUUAAGAAGAAACAACAGAAUCAUGCACCC
RNAcentral lists this long non-coding RNA (316 nucleotides) under Elaeis guineensis (African oil palm). RNAcentral's name for it is "long non-coding RNA (EGUI_LNC004451)". The record is from RNAcentral. Lineage: Eukaryota; Viridiplantae; Streptophyta; Magnoliopsida; Arecales; Arecaceae.